Molecule: ribosomal RNA, 1200 nt
Filed under: Triticum aestivum (bread wheat)
Lineage: Eukaryota; Viridiplantae; Streptophyta; Magnoliopsida; Poales; Poaceae
Description: partial small subunit ribosomal RNA
Source: RNAcentral
AUGGGGACGGAGCCGACGAUGCUGCAGCGGUGGUCGUCGUCGAUGUGGGGGAUGAGCGGCGGCGACCGGCUGCGGCUGUGGGAGGACAAGGCGUGGCGGGCGCACGCGGCCAUGGCCUUCACGCAGCUCGCCUACGGCGGCUACCACGUCCUCACCAAGUCCGUCCUCAACGUCGGCAUGAACCAGAUCGUCUUCUGCGUCUACCGCGACCUCGUCGCGCUCGCCCUCCUCGCCCCCGCCGCCUACUUCCGAGAGAGGAGGGUGCGGCGCCCCGUCACCCCGCAGCUGCUCGGCUCCUUCGCGCUCCUUGGAUUCACCGGGAUCUUCGGGAACCAGCUCCUCUUCCUGCUCGGCCUCGGCUUCACCAACGCCUCCUACGCCGCCGCGUUCCAGCCCGCCAUACCCGUCUUCACCUUCCUCCUCGCCGCAAUCGUCGGUGUCGAAGUCAUCCACGUCUUCACCAGAGACGGCGUCUUCAAGGUCGUCGGCACGGCCGUGUGCGUCUUCGGCGCCCUCCUCAUGGUCUUCUACCGAGGCCCCUCCCUGAUCGGCCUCGGAGGCGCCAAUGCGCUGGCCGGCGCCGACGCGUCAUGGAGCGGCAGUUCCUAUCCUGCUCAGUGGCUGACGCCAGCCGUGCUCCAGUUCAGUUUUGGAACCUGGAACCUUGGUGUCCUGUGCCUCUUAGGCAACUGCUUCCUCAUGGGGGCUUAUCUUGUCAUACAGGCCCCGGUGUUAGUAAAAUAUCCUGCGAGCUUAUCCUUGACAGCCUACUCUUACUCAUUUGCCACCAUCUUCAUGGUGUUGACUGGGGUUUUUGCAACCAACGGGCUCCAUGAGUGGGCGCUGACAGGGACAGAAAUCAUAGCCGUUCUAUAUGCUGGAGUUGUUGCGUCUUGUCUCAACUACGCAAUCAUGACUUGGGCGAACAAAAUUCUUGGACCAUCUCUGGUCGCCCUCUACAAUCCGCUCCAACCAGCAUGCUCUACCAUCCUCUCAACUAUUUUUCUUGGUACCCCAAUCUAUCUAGGAAGCCUCAUUGGAGGAGUCUUCAUCAUUGCUGGUCUAUACCUGGUUACUUGGGCCCGUUACAAUGAGGCGCAGAGAAUACUGAUGUCUGGUUAUCUGAAUCCUCUUCUUGUGGAGGUGGAGGAUGCGCCAGCUCCCAAGAGACAGGAAAAUUCCAGCUCAAUUGAUCCCUGA